AUUGAACGCUGGCGACAUGCCUUACACAUGCAAGUCGAACGGCAGCACGGGUGCUUGCACCUGGUGGCGAGUGGCGAACGGGUGAGUAAUACAUCGGAACAUGUCCUGUAGUGGGGGAUAGCCCGGCGAAAGCCGGAUUAAUACCGCAUACGAUCCACGGAUGAAAGCGGGGGACCUUCGGGCCUCGCGCUAUAGGGUUGGCCGAUGGCUGAUUAGCUAGUUGGUGGGGUAAAGGCCUACCAAGGCGACGAUCAGUAGCUGGUCUGAGAGGACGACCAGUCACACUGGGACUGAGACACGGCCCAGACUCCUACGGGAGGCAGCAGUGGGGAAUUUUGGACAAUGGGCGAAAGCCUGAUCCAGCAAUGCCGCGUGUGUGAAGAAGGCCUUCGGGUUGUAAAGCACUUUUGUCCGGAAAGAAAUCCUUGGCCCUAAUACGGUCGGGGGAUGACGGUACCGGAAGAAUAAGCACCGGCUAACUACGU
This 485-nucleotide ribosomal RNA is filed under the name uncultured bacterium. RNAcentral's name for it is "partial 16S ribosomal RNA". It matches the Rfam family "Bacterial small subunit ribosomal RNA", at positions 30 to 506 of the family's 1533-position model. The record is from RNAcentral.